AGAGUUUGAUCCUGGCUCAGAUGAAUGCUGGCGGCGUGCCUAAUAUCUGCAAGUCGAGCGGUAAGGCCCUUAGGGGUACACGAGCGGCGGACGGCUGAGUAACGCGUAGGAACAUGCCCCAAAGUGAGGGAUAAGCACCGGAAACGGUGUCUAAUACCGCAUAUGGUCUUCGGAUUAAAGGAUUUAUCCGCUUUGGGAGUGGCCUGCGUAUGAUUAGAUUGUUGGUGAGGUAAUGGCUCACCAAGUCCACGAUCAUUAACUGGUCUGAGAGGAUGAUCAGUCAGACUGGAACUGAGACACGGUCCAGACUCCUACGGGAGGCAGCAGUAAGGAAUCUUCCACAAUGGGGGCAACCCUGAUGGAGCAACGCCGCGUGCAGGAUGAAGGCCUUCGGGUCGUAAACUGCUUUUAUGAGUGAAGAAUAUGACGGUAACUCAUGAAUAAGCACCGGCUAACUACGUGCCAGCAGCCGCGGUCAUACGUAGGGUGCAAGCAUUAUCCGGAGUGACUGGGCGUAAAGAGUUGCGUAGGUGGUUAGUAAAGUGAAUAGUGAAACCUGGUGGCUCAACCAUACAGACUAUUAUUCAAACUCACUAACUCGAGAG
RNAcentral lists this ribosomal RNA (605 nucleotides) under uncultured Candidatus Saccharibacteria bacterium. RNAcentral describes it as "bacterial SSU rRNA". It matches the Rfam family "Bacterial small subunit ribosomal RNA", at positions 8 to 648 of the family's 1533-position model. The record is from RNAcentral. Lineage: Bacteria; Candidatus Saccharimonadota.